UACGUAGGUGGCGAGCGUUAUCCGGAUUGAUUGGGCGUAAAGGGAACGCAGGCGGUCUUUUAAGUCUGAUGUGAAAGCCUUCGGCUUAACCGGAGUAGUGCGUUGGAAACUGGGAGACUUGAGUGCAGAAGAGGAGAGUGGAACUCCAUGUGUAGCGGUGAAAUGCGUAGAUAUAUGGAAGAACACCAGUGGCGAAAGCGGCUCUCUGGUCUGUAACUGACGCUGAGGUUCGAAAGCGUGGGUAGCAAACAGG
RNAcentral lists this ribosomal RNA (253 nucleotides) under uncultured bacterium. Its description in RNAcentral is "partial 16S ribosomal RNA". It matches the Rfam family "Bacterial small subunit ribosomal RNA", at positions 524 to 776 of the family's 1533-position model. The record is from RNAcentral.